CCUACCAUUAGUGGUGUGACCUUGGACAAGUUACUUAAGUUCUCUGUGUCUCAGUUUCCCUAUCUGUAAAAUGGAGUUAAUGAGAGUAUCUACCGCAUUAUGCUAUUACAAAUAUUUUGAUCUCUGACACUGUGUGAAGUGGAUGGAGGGUUGGAGAAUGCUCAGAAUUGUCAACGUUCUUCGAGGAAUCAGGAGACGAGACUCAGGUCUUCUCUGUCAGUGAAACCAUGUGACUUUAGAGCUACUGCCCAGGUCCUCUGUCAUUUGGAAGAAGUCAGUCUACUGUAGAAGUAAAAGAAGCAUAGAAGAAAGUCUUAGGACUUGUGCUGGGAGCAGUAGUUUCCUAAUUCCAUUGUCCCUCUGUGCUGGAUGCCUUCUACUGGUUCCAAUGCAGGAACCCAUAGUUCCUUCUUUUGCCUAGGUGAACUUUCUUUGGUUUUCAGUCUCUUACAACCAAAAGAAACCCAAAUAAUACUUAUUACUCUUGUAUUGUUUCUGAGACAGCAAGAAGCUCUUCAUAAAAUGAUGAAGUAAAGAUUACUAACA
Long non-coding RNA from Panthera uncia (snow leopard), 546 nucleotides. RefSeq lists it as uncharacterized. The transcript has 3 exons. The record is from RefSeq and is a predicted model, not a curated record. NCBI's taxonomy places the organism in Eukaryota, Metazoa, Chordata, Mammalia, Carnivora, Felidae.